Molecule: ribosomal RNA, 500 nt
Filed under: uncultured bacterium
Lineage: Bacteria
Description: partial 16S ribosomal RNA
Rfam family: Bacterial small subunit ribosomal RNA
Source: RNAcentral
AUUGAACGCUGGCGGCAUGCCUUACACAUGCAAGUCGGACGGCAGCACGGGAGCAAUCCUGGUGGCGAGUGGCGAACGGGCGAGUAAUAUAUCGGAACGUGCCCAGUCGUGGGGGAUAACACCGCGAAAGCUGUGCUAAUACCGCAUACGAUCUAUGGAUGAAAGCGGGGGAUCGCAAGACCUCGCGCGAUUGGAGCGGCCGAUAGCAGAUUAGCUAGUUGGUGGGGUAAAGGCCCACCAAGGCGACGAUCUGUAGCUGGUCUGAGAGGACGACCAGCCAUACUGGAACUGAGACACGGUCCAGACUCCUACGGGAGGCAGCAGUGGGGAAUUUUGGACAAUGGGCGCAAGCCUGAUCCAGCAAUGCCGCGUGCAGGAUGAAGGCCUUCGGGUUGUAAACUGCUUUUGUACGGAGCGAAACGGUCUGCCCUAAUACGGUGGGCUAAUGACGGUACCGUAAGAAUAAGCACCGGCUAACUACGUGCCAGCCGCCGCAGUAA